This 499-nucleotide ribosomal RNA is filed under the name uncultured bacterium. RNAcentral describes it as "partial 16S ribosomal RNA". It matches the Rfam family "Bacterial small subunit ribosomal RNA", at positions 28 to 507 of the family's 1533-position model. The record is from RNAcentral.
GACGAACGCUGGCGGCGUGCUUAACACAUGCAAGUCGAACGGGCCCGCUCUCUUGUUUGUGGGUGGGUUGAGUGGCGAACGGUUGAGUAUCACUUGAGUAACCUGCCCCCUGCUCCUGGAUAACGGCUUGAAAGGGCGUCUAAUACGGGUUGUGCCGGCUGGUCCGCAUGGGCCUGGUCGGGCUAGGUUCAUCUUCGGGUGUUUCGGCUGGGGAUGGGCUCGCGGCCUAUCAGCUUGUUGGUGGGGUGAUGGCCCACCGGGGCGGUGACGUGUAGCGGGCCGGCGGGGGUGGGCGGCGACACGGGGACUGGGAAACGGCCGAGAGUGCUGCGGGAGGCAGCACUGGGGGGUAUUGCAGAGUGGGAGGAAGCAUGAUGGAGCGAAGCCGGGUGCGGGAUGGAGGCGUUCGGGUUGUGAACCUCUUGGUUCGGUGGUGAAGGCCGUGUGCGUUGAGGCGGGGUUGACGGUAGCCGGGUAUGAAGCGCCGGCUAACUACGUG